This 499-nucleotide ribosomal RNA is filed under the name uncultured bacterium. RNAcentral's name for it is "partial 16S ribosomal RNA". It matches the Rfam family "Bacterial small subunit ribosomal RNA", at positions 28 to 507 of the family's 1533-position model. The record is from RNAcentral.
GACGAACGCUGGCGGCGUGCCUAAUACAUGCAAGUCGAGCGAAGUUUUUCUGGUGCUUGCACUAGAAAAACUUAGCGGCGAACGGGUGAGUAACACGUAAAGAGCCUGCCUCAUAGACUGGGACAACUAUUGGAAACGAUAGCUAAUACCGGAUAACAGCAUUAACUGCAUGGUUGAUGUUUAAAAGUUGGUUUUGCUAACACUAUGAGAUGGCUUUGCGGUGCAUUAGCUAGUUGGUGGGGUAAAGGCCUACCAAGGCGACGAUGCAUAGCCGACCUGAGAGGGUGAUCGGCCACACUGGGACUGAGACACGGCCCAGACUCCUACGGGAGGCAGCAGUAGGGAAUCUUCCGCAAUGGGCGAAAGCCUGACGGAGCAACGCCGCGUGAGUGAAGAAGGAUUUCGGUUCGUAAAGCUCUGUUGUUAGGGAAGAAUGAUUGUGUAGUAACUAUACACAGUAGAGACGGUACCUAACCAGAAAGCCACGGCUAACUACGUG